AGAGAGAGACAUGCGCGCAUAUCAAUAAGCGGAGGAAAAGAAACUAACAAGGAUUCCCCUAGUAACGGCGAGUGAAGCGGGAAGAGCUCAAAUUUGAAAUCUUAAAGGGUUUCCCUUUACGAAUUGUAGUUUAAAGAAGUGUUUUCUGUUGAGGUUUUGGUAAAAGUUCUUUGGAAUAGGACAUCAUAGAGGGUGAGAAUCCCGUAUUUGACCUUUACUUUCAACUUUGUGAUACACUUUCAAAGAGUCGGAUUGUUUGGGAAUGCAGUCCAAAAUGGGUGGUAAAUUUCAUCUAAAGCUAAAUAUUGGCGAGAGACCGAUAGCGAACAAGUACCGUGAGGGAAAGAUGAAAAGAACUUUGAAAAGAGAGUUAAACAGUACGUGAAAUUGUCAAAAGGGAAGCGUUUGACACCAGUGUUGUUUUUCUGAAAAUCAAUUAAAGAACUGUUUAUGCUAAGCUGUUUAGACUUUAUCAGCUAACUGUUUAGUUUUGAGCUUUUCUUUAAUGCACUUUUCAGUUAACAAGUCAACAUCAAUUUCUUUUGCUGUAAAAAAGCUUGAGGAAGGUGGCUUGAGAUUCGUCUUAAGUGUUUAUAGCCUCUUGCCUAUGCAGUCGGAGAGAUUGAGGUCUGCAGCGUAGAUCCUUCGGGCUAAAUGCAUUUGUGCUAAGUUAUAGCAUUUUAUAGACAACUUGUUGACUAUGAUUUGUCUUGUAGCUUACUCGCUUAUGUUAUUUUACCUACGCUUAGGAUGUUGACGCAUGAGAUAUACGC
Molecule: ribosomal RNA, 773 nt
Filed under: uncultured Neocallimastigales
Lineage: Eukaryota; Fungi; Neocallimastigomycota; Neocallimastigomycetes; Neocallimastigales
Description: partial large subunit ribosomal RNA
Rfam family: Eukaryotic large subunit ribosomal RNA
Source: RNAcentral